This is a long non-coding RNA of Cynoglossus semilaevis (tongue sole), 936 nucleotides long. RefSeq lists it as uncharacterized. The record is from RefSeq and is a predicted model, not a curated record. The transcript is spliced from 3 exons. NCBI's taxonomy places the organism in Eukaryota, Metazoa, Chordata, Actinopteri, Pleuronectiformes, Cynoglossidae.
GAGGUACAAAAACCCAGGGCACCAGGUGACACGAGUGGGACUGAUUAACAAGGAAACACAGGUGAGUGUGAUUUCACUAAUCAGCCCCAAACAAACAGACAGAAGAGAAGGACGGACCUCACAGUGAAGUGCAGUAAAAUACAAGUCUGUUUCAGUACAGUAUAUUCCAGCAGUUUAAAUGUUGGCAAAGUUGGGUUUGGUUCCCUGCAGCACACAGUGGAAAUAUAUGAUGAAAUAUAUAAGAUUAGUACUCUGAACUGCAGUGUAAAGCAGUGUCAUUGAAUGUAAAAUUGAGUGGUACAGUGGUUGGCUUAGUGGUUAAGGAAGCUGACUUGGGUCUGGAAGUCUUCAGGUUUGAGUCCACCAAGUUACCACUGAGUUUGUGUGUACUGUAUGUGGUCGGUGGUUCUUUUGAGCAACAACGAGGACCCGGCAAAGUCACCGUGCUCCGGGUCCCCGGCUCGUACAUCUGGCACCCAUUCGGUUUGAGGAGGCGAGUGCCAACAGCAACGCACGGGGCUACAGACCAAACAACACUCUCAAGUUCAGUGACAGCGAGUGCAUGACAAGCAAAAUGGAAACCUUUUGACAGAGAAUGAUGGAAGGAAAUGAUCAUUUGGGCAAGAAGAUCAAGGCGAGGCAUCGUUUCGUUCGAGUGCUCAGUAUCUCAUUUCAGGAUGAAGCUGCAACAUCUUGAAUGUGACUCUCGGUGAAUGGAAAACUCUGCGGCAGUGGUCCACGUCUGACCUCUGGGAUGUGCUAAUUCUGCGGCUUUGCAGAGAUUUAACAGUUGUCAUGAAAAUAUUAAAUUUGGACCGCUGCAUCUGGCAGUGACACAGUGAUGCCACUACAUCACAAUGCUGCCGAGGAGCGGUGACUCAUUCGUGAUGAACAUCUGCAUCGUAAAAUAAAAGUGUGGCCUCGUCCGUGUCGCUG